Molecule: ribosomal RNA, 256 nt
Filed under: uncultured bacterium
Lineage: Bacteria
Description: partial 16S ribosomal RNA
Rfam family: Bacterial small subunit ribosomal RNA
Source: RNAcentral
UACGUAGGGGGCUAGCGUUAUCCGGAAUUAUUGGGCGUAAAGAGCUCGUAGGCGGUUUGUCGCGUCUGCCGUGAAAGUCCGGGGCUCAACUCCGGAUCUGCGGUGGGUACGGGCAGACUAGAGUGAUGUAGGGGGAGACGUGGAAUUCCUGGUGUAGCGGUGAAAUGCGCAGAUAUCAGGAGGAACACCGAUGGCGAAGGCAGGUCUCUGGGCAUUAACUGACGCUGAGGAGCGAAAGCAUGGGGGAGCGAACAGG